Molecule: unclassified non-coding RNA, 441 nt
Filed under: Peplidium sp. Barker 7285
Lineage: Eukaryota; Viridiplantae; Streptophyta; Magnoliopsida; Lamiales; Phrymaceae
Description: partial external transcribed spacer
Source: RNAcentral
UUUGGUGUGUAUCUGCAUGCAGAUCCCUGUUUCGGCAGCGAAUGCAUGUCAUGCAUACCUCUUCAAUUGUUGGCUCAAGUGCGGCUUUGGCUUGGUCUUAAUUGGUUUCUUGUGCUGCAUACCUCUAUGAAGGUAAUUGGUCGGCCUAAUUGAUCCCUAUUCUUACAUGCAUCGAACCCAUUGUGGUUUUGGUGUGAGUAUGACCACAAAGCAUGCAUAGUGCUCCUCUUCCUAGGCAUCGUGCUGGUGCUUUGGGCUGUUGGCACAUUAUGGGUGCUUGAUCUCUCGGAUACGGAAAAUUGUAUGGGUAUGAAGCAUGCCUUGGCUUGCUCCUAUUUGCCCCAAAAUUAAGCGUUCAACGCUUGUUGCGUACGACUGUUGUUCUCGUUUUGGUUGGGUCCUUUGUGGCUCGAGUCAUGCGUUAACAACGUCGUUGAGGAA